AUACUAAGCCAUGCGAGUCAUUGUAGCAAUACAAGGCAUACGGCUCAGUAACGCGUAGUCAACCUAACCUAUGGACGGGAAUAACCUCGGGAAACUGAGAAUAAUUCCCGAUAGAACAUUAUACCUGGAAUGGUUUAUGUUCCAAAUGAUUUAUCGCCGUAGGAUGGGACUGCGGCCUAUCAGUUUGUUGGUGAGGUAAUGGCCCACCAAGACUAUUACAGGUACGGGCUCUGAGAGGAGUAGCCCGGAGAUGGGUACUGAGACACGGACCCAGGCCCUAUGGGGCGCAGCAGGCGAGAAAACUUUGCAAUGUGCGAAAGCACGACAAGGUUAAUCCGAGUGAUUUGUGCUAAACGAAUCUUUUGUUAGUCCUAGAAACACUAACGAAUAAGGGGUGGGCAAGUUCUGGUGUCAGCCGCCGCGGUAAAACCAGCACCUCAAGUGGUCAGGAUGAUUAUUGGGCCUAAAGCAUCCGUAGCCGGCUCUGUAAGUUUUCGGUUAAAUCUGUACGCUCAACGUACAGGCUGCCGGGAAUACUGCAAAGCUAGGGAGUGGGAGAAGUAGACGGUACUCGGUAGGAAGUGGUAAAAUGCUUUGAUCUAUCGAUGACCACCUGUGGCGAAGGCGGUCUACUAGAACACGUCCGACGGUGAGGGAUGAAAGCUGGGGGAGCAAACCGGAUUAGAUACCCGGGUAGUCCCAGCUGUAAACUAUGCAAACUCAGUGAUGCAUUGGCUUGUGGCCAAUGCAGUGCUGCAGGGAAGCCGUUAAGUUUGCCGCCUGGGAAGUACGUACGCAAGUAUGAAACUUAAAGGAAUUGGCGGGGGA
Molecule: ribosomal RNA, 828 nt
Filed under: uncultured archaeon
Lineage: Archaea
Description: bacterial SSU rRNA
Rfam family: Archaeal small subunit ribosomal RNA
Source: RNAcentral